AUGGAGCCAGGGGUCACAUGCAAGGGGCUCAGAGCUGGAGGCACCUUCUUCUUGGAGACACAAGCCUGGGCACCGCAACGAAAUCGAAAGCAAAGAGCAGGCGGGAUCCGGCAGCGCCUCCAGCCUGGUCCCCCGGUCGCAGGGUCUUCCCCAUCACCGCACCAUCGCCCGCGCCCCCCGCAACUCGGCGCUGCCCGCCCCGCGUGGCCACUUCUCCCGGCGGCAGAAAGGCCUCUCUGCGGGCAUCGAGGGCACCUACCGGUGCGGGGCCGGGAUCGCGAGCCGGGGCAGGGCAGGGCCGGACGCCUGCCGGGCGCAGGUGCGGCCAGGAGCGCCGUCUCCCGGGCUCGCUCCCGCUCCUCCUCCCGCGCCGGGACUCGGGGCGCUCUCCUGCGCCGCCUGCUCCCCGCCCCCACGCCCGGCGUUCGGGCUCCCCCCGCGCCGAUUUGCCGCUGCCCGUGCCUCCCCCACGCCGCCGGCCCUCCGGCGCCGCGCCUAGUCCCGCAUCGUGUGUCGGCGCCCGCCGCGGCGCGGGGGUCGGAGGGCUGCGGCCGCCGCUGCCCGGGCCGAGCGGAGCCCCCGGCGGCGGCGGCGGCGGCGGCGGCACUCACCCAUAGUAUGGAUGCGGUGCAAACUGCACAUGCUCGCGUCUGACAGGCGCUCUGCCUCCGGCCCCGCUUAACUCCUUGCUCGCCCGCUCACCCGCUCGCCCUCCGGGUUCGCGGCCCGGCCGACUCCCUCGCCCCUCCCCCGCCUCCGGGAGUCGGCUGCGCCCCGGGCGUCUGGAAAUGCUCCCCCCGGUCCCGAGCGCGGUGCAGGGGGCUGCAGUGCAGAGCUCCUCUGCCUGCCGGGCCCCUGCCACCCCGCCUGCGUGUACGGUGUCUGAAGGAGCCCCGAGGAGAGCACCAGCCGGGACCCCUCACCUCCCUGCUUGUAGGAGUUGUGGGGGCACAACGUCCACUGUGGGUGUCCUGUGGGUCCCCGUUCCCCGAGGGCCACGGGCCACACGGCACUGCAGACCCACCAGAUGUCAGCGCUGUGUUUUGUGCAGUCCAUUCGUUGAAAUAGGCCUGCAAGAUGGGUUUUAUUAUCCCCAUUUUCAAGAUGGGAAAACUGAGGCCUGUGGAAGUUAAGGAAUCUACCUAAUGGAGAGCCUGAACUUCCAAGGUUGACAGUUUGGUUUAUACCACAAAGAUUAAACAGAACAUGUUCUUUCUUAAGUCAGUUGGGAUCCUUCUAUUGGAAGAUGUAAAAUAAUGGAUGCCAUCUAGAAAACCUGGAGAUUCUGAUACGUGGAUCAGUGGGAAAUCCCUGACAGGAGGGCCAAAACUUGAGACAGGCCCCUCAGGUGGGUCCUAGGUCGUGCAGCAAGGCUGGGAAGGGAGUAGGAAGGCAAUGCAACUACGUCAAGCAUUUGGGUUUGGUACUGGAGCUACAGCCAAGAGGAAAGGACAUUUUUACAAUUUAGGGGUAUCUUUUUGUCAAUUAUCUGUCUGGAGGGGGCACCCUUUGCUAAUUCUCACAGGGACCCUAUGUGUGCCGAGGCCUGAUCAGAGAGGUCUGAUGGCUGCUUCUCUCCUAGCCCUCACUCCCUUUUUAAUCACAUGCCACAGCGACAGAGAGUUCUCAGGGGUCCAAAGCAGCACAGAAUCUUCUAAGGAAAGAAACCAUCCAGCCAGUCUCGCCCCACUCUGGAUGAGAAGCUGAGCUGCUGUUCUAAUCUGACCCGAAAUUGUGGGUUUCUCAAACCUGCAGAGGAAGUGCACAGUCACGUGGUGCCAAUGGCAAGAGCUCUUGGCUUCCCUGAGUUAGUUUCCUGCUCUGAGAUGGAGGUAGUAUGGCCUGGGUCAUAAGUAUAUUGUGAUGACCCAAUAAUGAAAUGCAUGUAGCAUCCUCAGUACAGAAGGCCUUCCAUAACAGGAGAGUAUUUUCUGCUGAGGGCAAAGCAGGGCUGGGGAGAAGGGAUCAGGGCUACAUUGAAGCCAUGGGCUGUCCUAGGACACUGUCAGAGAGGCAGAAGACAGGCCCCUCUCAGGAACACCUUGCAAGAAGAUACUUCAGUCAAUCUGGCAGCAAAGCCCACCUGCUGAAGAUGGACCUCCCUGGCCGGCCCCUUGCCUUGGAGUCCCUUUCUGCUCUGGUUUUCGAUCUCUGGCUGGUGGCUGAUUCCACUCCCUUCUGGCUCUGGGAGGCAGCAUUGCGCAGAAGAAAGCAUAACAGGCUGUUAAGGCGGAGGAUCUGAAUUGGGGGUGAUUUAUCCCUUAGUGUGCAGGGCUGAGCAUCCACAAUAUUUUUUUUUUCAUCCACAAUAUUUUUAGGGCCCAUAAAAUUUUCUGAAUUUCUUUUAAACUCAGAGGCAAAAAAUAAACUUUGAGGUCAAAGAAAAUGUUUUCCUAUA
Molecule: long non-coding RNA, 2398 nt
Filed under: Bos indicus x Bos taurus (hybrid cattle)
Lineage: Eukaryota; Metazoa; Chordata; Mammalia; Artiodactyla; Bovidae
Description: lncRNA (ENSBIXG00000023909.1)
Source: RNAcentral